Danio rerio (zebrafish) is the source of this 607-nucleotide non-coding RNA. NCBI's taxonomy places the organism in Eukaryota, Metazoa, Chordata, Actinopteri, Cypriniformes, Danionidae. The record is from RefSeq and is a predicted model, not a curated record.
AGGAGCACAGGUGAGGGAGAAAACUCCAACUCAAGUGAAUGGCAGAGUCACUGACAGCAUAAUACAGAAAAAUCUGUCAGAAGCUCUUCAUAGUGGUGUGACAAACCAAUCACCAAUGAGCUCUGUGUCCUGGGAUACAGCACCAGUCAGCACCAGCUCCGCCCACUAAGCAUCAUAAUGGACUGUCCUCCAAUGGAGACGCAGCAGACUUUGAGGAGAUAAUCAAGCUGUCCAAUCACAGUGGGAACAGUGGAAUCAUGGCCUUCGAGAGGUGCUGUGAGAGAUGAGAUAUCAGAGUCUUCUGGACAUAAUGAGAAGAAGAGAAGCCUUGCUCUACCACUGCUUCCACCCUGACGUGUGCCAAACCAACAAAAACAGACUGCUUUAACUUUAGAAACACUGCCGAGCCGGAUGCGCUCUGGAGAAAGUGCCAGAAGACGACCUUAAAGAGACACUUAUAUACAACGUUUGCAAAAAGUCUCCGUCUAUUUCAGUGUGUGUGUCAUGGUGCAGCAUUUGUUGAGUUUCUUUAACAAGUCACCUGGGGCCUCAUGUAUCAAUGCUGCGUACGCACAAAAACUUUGCGUACGCCAGAUUUCACGCUCAG